GAGUUUGAUCCUGGCUCAGGACGAACGCUGGCGGUGCGCCUUAUGCAUGCAAGUUGAGCGAAGCUUUUUGGUAGUUUACUACUAGAAAUGACUGAGCGGCGAACGGGUGAGUAACGCGUGAGCAAUCUACCUUAGUUACUGGGAUAGCCCGAGGAAACUCGGAUUAAUACCGGAUAUUCUUAUUUUUUCACAUGAAGUUUUAAGGAAAGGUCAGCCGAACUAAGAUGAGCUCGCGUUCUAUCAGCUAGUUGGUGGGGUAAAAGCCUACCAAGGCUACGACGGAUAGCUGGUCUGAGAGGACGAUCAGCCACACUGGGACUGAGACACGGCCCAGACUCCUACGGGAGGCUGCAGCAGGGAAUAUUGUGCAAUGAGCGAAAGCUUGACACAGCGACACCGCGUGUGGGAUGACGGUUCUAGGAUUGUAAACCACUUUCAGGAGGGAAGAAAAUGACGGUACCUCCACAAGAAGACCCGGCCAACUAUGUGCCAGCAGCCGCGGUAAUACAUAGGGGUCAAGCGUUGUCCGGAUUUAUUGGGCGUAAAGAGCUCGUAGGCGGUUCAACAAGUCGGUCGUAAAAGUUUAGGGCUCAACCCUAAAAUGUCGAUCGAUACUGUUGUGACUAGGAUACGGUAGAGGUGAAUGGAAUUCCGAGUGUAGCGGUGAAAUGCGUAGAUAUUCGGAGGAACACCAAUUGCGAAGGCAGUUCACUGGACCGUGAUCGACGCUGAGGAGCGAAAGCUAGGGGAGCAAACAGGAUUAGAUACCCUGGUAGUCCUAGCUGUAAACGAUGGAUACUAGAUGUAGGAACUGGAUUGACGGUUUCUGUAUCGUAGCUAACGCGUUAAGUAUCCCGCCUGGGGAGUACGGUCGCAAGACUAAAACUCAAAGGAAUUGACGGGACCCCGCACAAGCGGCGGAGCAUGCGGCUUAAUUCGAUGAUACCCGUAGAACCUUACCUGGACUUGACAUAUAGGGAAAAACUGGAGAAAUCCAGUGUGCGUAAGCGCCCUAUACAGGUGGUGCAUGGCUGUCGUCAGCUCGUGUCGUGAGAUGUUGGGUUAAGUCCCCGCAACGAGCGCAACCCCUGUCCUAUGUUGCCAGCAAGUAAUGUUGGGGACUCAUAGGAGACUGCCGGUGAUAAACCGGAGGAAGGUGGGGACGACGUCAAGUCAUCAUGCCCCUUAUGUCCAGGGCUGCACGCAUGCUACAAUGGCAAGUACAACGAGUCGCAAUACCGCGAGGUGGAGCAAAUCUCUUAAAGCUUGUCUCAGUUCGGAUAGGAGUCUGCAACUCGACUCCUUGAAGUUGGAGUCGCUAGUAAUCGCAAAUCAGCAAAGUUGCGGUGAAUACGUUCUCGGGGUUUGUACACACCGCCCGUC
RNAcentral lists this ribosomal RNA (1383 nucleotides) under uncultured marine bacterium. RNAcentral describes it as "bacterial SSU rRNA". It matches the Rfam family "Bacterial small subunit ribosomal RNA". The record is from RNAcentral.